RNAcentral lists this ribosomal RNA (253 nucleotides) under uncultured bacterium. RNAcentral describes it as "partial 16S ribosomal RNA". It matches the Rfam family "Bacterial small subunit ribosomal RNA", at positions 524 to 776 of the family's 1533-position model. The record is from RNAcentral.
UACAGAGGCCACGAGCGUUAGGCGGAAUCACUGGGCUUAAAGCGUGUGUAGGUGGAUGACUAAGCACCUUGUGAAAUCCCACGGCUCAACCGUGGAACUGCUUGGUAUACUGGUUGUCUUGAGGCACUCAGGGGCGAGCGGAACAGAUGGUGGAGCGGUGAAAUGCGUAGAUAUCAUCUGGAACGCCAAUGGUGAAGACAGCUCGCUGGGGGUGUACUGACACUGAGACACGAAAGCCAGGGGAGCAAACAGG